GGGGACGACAGGCUUCGACGUGGUCGGUCCGUGGAUGCAGUUGCGAGUCGAGGUCGCCGGUAGGCCUCGUAAAACAACCGGCAAAACCAUAGUUGCGGAUGAGAAUCACUCGUUCGCGCUUGCUGCCUAGUUAGAUCUAGCCAGUGAGCUAUCGGCCUCCCCUCGGCCCGUGGGGGAGAUGUCCGGUAUCAGAAACGGGCUUGCCCCCGACGUGCGUCUCUGGCGCCGGGGGGACGCAACACAGAGACUGGUCCCGAGCAACCCGGCCGGUCAGGCUAGCUCGGGACGAGAACAGAGGGCCGGCUACGCUCGUAGACGCUGUAUUCGCACGACCGCGGACGUGGGUUCGAUUCCCACCGUCUCCAUAU
RNAcentral lists this transfer-messenger RNA (368 nucleotides) under Actinomycetota bacterium. It matches the Rfam family "transfer-messenger RNA". From Rfam's summary of the family: Bacterial tmRNA, also known as 10Sa RNA or SsrA, is named for its dual tRNA and mRNA-like properties. Its role is to liberate the mRNA from a stalled ribosome. To accomplish this part of the tmRNA is used as a reading frame that ends in a translation stop signal. The record is from RNAcentral. Lineage: Bacteria; Bacillati; Actinomycetota.